UCGGGGUGUGGCUCAGGUGGUAGAGCGCUACUUUAGGGAAGUAGAGGCCGCAAGUUCAAGUCUUGUCACUCCGAU
RNAcentral lists this transfer RNA (75 nucleotides) under Eisenbergiella massiliensis. Its description in RNAcentral is "tRNA-Pro". It matches the Rfam family "tRNA". From Rfam's summary of the family: Transfer RNA (tRNA) molecules are approximately 80 nucleotides in length. Their secondary structure includes four short double-helical elements and three loops (D, anti-codon, and T loops). The record is from RNAcentral. RNAcentral also lists the same sequence under 3 other names. Lineage: Bacteria; Bacillati; Bacillota; Clostridia; Lachnospirales; Lachnospiraceae.